CAGGACGCCAACAACUGACAUUGUUGUGGGCGUAUUUGUUGAUUUGUGAACAAAAUGUUAAUUUGUGGGCCUUCCUCCCUCUCUUGUGGAGAUGUUACAACAAAGCUUUGGGAGAUUGAGCUGCUCUAUAACGGCUGAAAAUGAUAAACUCGAGCUUGGAACAAAAGCAUCUACCAGCACUAUCAUCACUGCCACCACCACUACUGGCACCACCACCUAUGGCAAGGUAAGAACCUUGGGAAAUUGAACAGCACCAUCACAA
Homarus americanus (American lobster) is the source of this 262-nucleotide long non-coding RNA. RefSeq lists it as uncharacterized. The transcript is spliced from 3 exons. Lineage: Eukaryota; Metazoa; Arthropoda; Malacostraca; Decapoda; Nephropidae. The record is from RefSeq and is a predicted model, not a curated record.